RNAcentral lists this ribosomal RNA (798 nucleotides) under uncultured bacterium. Its description in RNAcentral is "bacterial SSU rRNA". It matches the Rfam family "Bacterial small subunit ribosomal RNA", at positions 8 to 796 of the family's 1533-position model. The record is from RNAcentral.
AGAGUUUGAUCAUGGCUCAGAUUGAACGCUGGCGGCGUGCCUAACACAUGCAAGUCGAGCGGUAACAGGUGUAGCAAUACAUGCUGACGAGCGGCGAACGGGUGAGUAAUGCUUUGGAAUCUUCCCAGUAGUGGGGAAUAACCAGUCGAAAGAUUGGCUAAUACCGCAUACGUCUGUAAAGGGAAAGCGGGGGAUCGUAAGACCUCGCGCUAUUGGAUGAGCCAAAGUCGGAUUAGCUAGUUGGUGGGGUAAUGGCCUACCAAGGCGACAAUCCGUAGCUGGUCUGAGAGGACGACCAGCCACACCGGAACUGAGACACGGUCCGGACUCCUACGGGAGGCAGCAGUGGGGAAUAUUGGACAAUGGGGGAAACCCUGAUCCAGCGACGCCGCGUGUGUGAAGAAGGCCUGCGGGUUGUAAAGCACUUUUAGUGGGGACAAAAAAGUCACGGGCUAACACCACGUGAUCUUGAUUUAACCCCACAGAAAAAAGCACCGGCUAACUCUGUGCCAGCAGCCCGCGGUAAUACAGAGGGUGCGAGCGUUAAUCGGAAUUACUGGGGCGUAAAGCGCGCGUAGACGUUUGUAAGUCAGAUGUGAAAUCCCCGGGCUCAACCUGGGAACUGCAUUUGAUACUGCAUGGCUAGAGUAUGGAAGAGGGAAGUGGAAUUUCCGGUGUAGCGGUGAAAUGCGUAGAUAUCGGAAGGAACACCAGUGGCGAAAGCGACUUCCUGGUCCAAUACUGACGUUCAUGUGCGAAAGCGUGGGGAGCAAACAGGAUUAGAUACCCUAGUAGUCC